This 846-nucleotide long non-coding RNA is filed under the name Populus tremula. Its description in RNAcentral is "long non-coding RNA (PTRE_LNC002828)". Lineage: Eukaryota; Viridiplantae; Streptophyta; Magnoliopsida; Malpighiales; Salicaceae. The record is from RNAcentral.
GAGACUAUUAAGCGUACCUCUCAAACUAGAAUUAGGCAGACUUAUGUUGAUGACACUACCAGACUGGUCGCAACUGAUUCCGAACCAGUUGCAAGGGCUGUCUCCAGCCCAAGAAGACAGGAGAGACUGGCUUUGGUUGUCAAGACUGACUUUCCAUUCUAGAAGAGCUUCCGCUUCCUUCCUUCCAUUUGCUACUUCAGCAAAAGAAGCAAAGAAGGAAGCAUAAGCAAGUAAGGAAAAAACCAAAAAAGGUGUGGAAAAGAGAAAGAUGUGGGAAGCCAUGGCCUUGGUGGUUUAAUUUCUUAAAAAGGAUGUAUAAAAUGAUUUGCCCUGCAUACGUAUAUAUAUGGAAGCUAUAAGGUGGAUAUUUCCUUUAUGCAGGAGCAAAACUACAGGGAGGUCAGCUUGGUCAUAAAUAGGCAGAACAGUCAAGAGCAGAAAAAUACAUGCUGAUAUACAAUAGCAAGUGAUAACCUAAUUAUUCAGCCUAUGAAAUUUCUUUGAAUCAUCACAUCUUUCAAUUCUACCAUGGAAAAUGGCUUUGACAAUGUAAGCCAUUGAGUUAUGAAGUCCUGUUAAAUAAUAUUCGUUACCAAUAUAUCUUAAUAGAUUUACUGGACAACUACCUCCAGAGUCGUGUCACAAGAAGUGAUGAAGAUAAAUUCAACAUAGCUAAAAAAAACUGUACUUUUUAUAAAUAAAAUAUACCAAAUGGUAAAUGUAAGAUUUGUCCUAAUUUCAAAUUUGACACAUCUGCUUAUUAGAACCACAAACAAUUAAGGAAAAAACCAAAAAAGGUGUGGAAAAGAGAAAGAUGUGGGAAGCCAUGGCCUUGGUGGUUUACUU